RNAcentral lists this microRNA precursor (86 nucleotides) under Podarcis lilfordi (Lilford's wall lizard). The record is from RNAcentral. Lineage: Eukaryota; Metazoa; Chordata; Lepidosauria; Squamata; Lacertidae.
AGCUGUCUUUGGACUACAAGUCCCAUCACCCCUGACCACUGGUCCUGCUAGCUAGGGAUGAUGGGAGUUGUAGUCCAAAAACAGCU